AUGAUGAUAAUGAGACCUAGCCACAAACAGCAUAUGGGGCUAUUAUCGGAUGAUGUUUCCCGGGGCCCGAAGCUGUCUAAACCUUUGUCUUGUGUUGCGUCUCUCGAUUCCGCUCAACCCCUCUCAAGCUACCACAUAGAUGCGCUGGCCUCACGAAUAAAUUCUCUCACUAGGACAUCUGUCGUGACAAUUCCACGACAGUUGGCACCCACCGUGGGGCCUGCGCACGAUGGUGAUGAAUUUUUGGAGGGAUCUCUCCUAGGGUUUGAGAAGCUCGCGAUUUCGUCGGAUGAGAAAGAGCCGACAAGUUUGUUGUUUUGGAUCUGGAACAUGAUUCACUUUGGAGCCGGCGUAUACAAGAUUGAGAUCAAAGAAAUUAGGGUUGCGAUUGCGCACCCGCCGCCGCAGUUUGCAAUACAUCGAGACAAAGAGAAAAUCGAUGUUUGCUGUUGCACCAAUCCAUCAAAUCGCCGGGUCACCAAUGGCACAGACGUGGACGCGUAA
Molecule: ribosomal RNA, 504 nt
Filed under: Triticum aestivum (bread wheat)
Lineage: Eukaryota; Viridiplantae; Streptophyta; Magnoliopsida; Poales; Poaceae
Description: partial small subunit ribosomal RNA
Source: RNAcentral